RNA transcript from Solanum stenotomum, 1391 nucleotides. RefSeq lists it as uncharacterized. The record is from RefSeq and is a predicted model, not a curated record. The transcript is spliced from 3 exons. NCBI's taxonomy places the organism in Eukaryota, Viridiplantae, Streptophyta, Magnoliopsida, Solanales, Solanaceae.
UUGUGAAUGAGGCUAUGAUGAUAUUCUCCGGGAAGGAAGCUUGCAACUCAGAUGUUUGAGCUGAUUCAUAUCUUGGCUAGGCAAAGGCAAGGAAUUUGUGAGGUGGGUUUUAUGUGCUCUCACAAAAAGGCCUCUGCUUUUUGCAGCCAUGGUGGAUUAGACUCUUUCUGAUAGAUCAGAUGAGUGAAACUAUUAGGUAUUGAUAUGAAACAAGUUCGAAGGAUAUGGAGGUGAAUGUUGAUACUGAAGCUAGUUGGUGAAAUUAUCUACACAAGUCCAAGCUUUCUUGCCUUAUUUAAAUCUUGAAAUCCCAAGUUUCAGAGGCAGUGAAGUUUAAGCAUAAUGAAAAGUGAAAAUUAUUAGAGUUGAUUCAUGGCCUGGGUUGAUGAGUCUAAUUGGAAGGUCUUCGUUGUAAGGCAACCGAUGAUUGCAACCACAGCAUGUUAACUCUACUAUUUCCUUUGAUUAAAUAUUCGAAAAUCUGGGCCUCAUCCCCAACUUGGUUUAUUUGCAUUUUUUUUUGACAAGUUUUUCUGUAAAUAACUUUAAACUAGAUAUAAUGUGUGGUUCUUGGGUCAAUUAUUUUGAAUUUCAGGUUCUCCUUUAUUUUGAGUAGCCACUAAUUUGUUAAGGAUUGGAGAGAGUUAUGGCGUCUCCAAUUACCCAGGAUCAUCUGUUGUUGUUCAGAGCCAAAUUCUAAUUUUUUUCUGUGUUCUUUUAUCUAAUUUCAUAUUCUUUUGGUAAUUUUUAUACCAGUUAAAGCAGUACUUGGAACCUUGCUUUGACUUUCAAGUCUGUUCAACUCGUGGAACUUCAGAUUGCGUCGAUACAAGUUUGAUGUUGGUGCUCUUUCAUUCUCUUACACUCUUCGAUGAGUACAUGCAGCAGUUCAAGAGAGGCCUGUUUGCUCCAACACCUGCAGUACCCUCAUCAUAGUUUAGCCCAGGAAUGAAGAAUGAGACAUCAGAGAGCUGGGAUUUUCUGUAAAGGGUGAUUGCCCCCUCUCUACUAUUUAUGUCCAUGAUUUCUUUCUCCAUUCAGAAAAAAACAACAGUCCUUUGAGAAAAAGAAAAGAUCAAGAAACUGAAAACGAGACCAUGCAGGCGUUUGGCCAUAGAUUCCAAAUAUAUAUAUGCUUUUUCUGCUUGUGCUUCUGCAAGGUAGAAAUGACACAACAAGGUAGCUGCUUUUUUUAAGAGUUCGGAACGUAAAUGAGGUGUUUUAUUGAUGUUGAUUGAUCUGAUAAAAUGGGCUGUGAUGAUGAUUUGCUUCUUUCUGGACUAUAAUCUGCUUCACUGCGUUGAGAAAAUCCGACUCGUAUCUUGGCAGGGCGACCCGGUAAGGCAUCCAUUUGCAAAUCGGUGUAUCUGCAGCCAUGGCAAUGUCGCUUU